GCGUUGUCCGGAUUUAUUGGGUUUAAAGGGUGCGUAGGCGGCCCUGUAAGUCAGUGCUGAAAUAUCCCGGCUUAACCGGGAGGGUGGCAUUGAUACUGCAGGGCUUGAGUACAGAUGAAGUAGGCGGAAUUGACGGUGUAGCGGUGAAAUGCAUAGAUAUCGUCAAGAACACCGAUAGCGAAGGCAGCUUACUAAGCUGUAACUGACGCUGAGGCACGAAAGUGUGGGGAUCAAACAGGAUUAGAUACCCUGGUAGUCCACACUGUAAACGUUGAUGACUCGAUGUUGGCGAUACACAGCCAGCGUCCAAGAGCAAUCGUUAAGUCAUCCACCUGGGGAGUACGCCGGCAACGGUGAAACUCAAAGGAAUUGACG
This 375-nucleotide ribosomal RNA is filed under the name uncultured Flexibacter sp. Its description in RNAcentral is "bacterial SSU rRNA". It matches the Rfam family "Bacterial small subunit ribosomal RNA", at positions 538 to 915 of the family's 1533-position model. Lineage: Bacteria; Pseudomonadati; Bacteroidota; Cytophagia; Cytophagales; Flexibacteraceae. The record is from RNAcentral.